CGGGGGAGCAAGCGUUGUUCGGAUUUACUGGGCGUAAAGGGCGCGUAGGCGGCCACUGCAAGUCAGUUGUGAAAUCUCCGGGCUUAACUCGGAAAGGUCAAUUGAUACUGCAGGGCUAGAGUGCAGAAGGGGCAACUGGGAAUUCUCGGUGUAGCGGUGAAAUGCGUAGAUAUCGAGAGGAACACCUGCGGCGAAGGCGGGUUGCUGGGCUGACACUGACGCUGCAGCGCGAAAGCCAGGGGAGCGGAACGGGAUUAGAUACCCCGUUAGUCCACGCCGUAAACGAUGGAUGCUAGCUGUUAUGCGUAUCGACCCGCGUAGUAGCGAAGCUAACGCGUUAAGCAUCCCGCCUGUGGAGUACGAGCGCAAGCUUA
RNAcentral lists this ribosomal RNA (374 nucleotides) under uncultured organism. Its description in RNAcentral is "bacterial SSU rRNA". It matches the Rfam family "Bacterial small subunit ribosomal RNA", at positions 527 to 896 of the family's 1533-position model. The record is from RNAcentral.